UCCCUGGUGGUCUAGUGGUUUGGAUGCGGCGCUUUCAACACUACGGCCCGGGUUCGAUCCCCGGUCAGGGAA
Molecule: non-coding RNA, 72 nt
Organism: Silurus meridionalis
Lineage: Eukaryota; Metazoa; Chordata; Actinopteri; Siluriformes; Siluridae
Source: the annotation of a RefSeq genome assembly